GGCCCAAGUUUGAUACAGAUACCACUCGGCAUACCGAGGUAAAGUUUUUCAAGCGUCAUCAGGACUGGCACCAGGACUGGCAGGCUCCACAAAGGUCUCAAGAUCGAUCCCGUCCGCGAUACGAGUGGCUGUCUCGAGGAAGGUCUCCAUGAAAUCUUCGAAUCGAAGCUUCUUGGUGUUGGCGACCUGCAACGCCUUCA
RNAcentral lists this long non-coding RNA (200 nucleotides) under Hordeum vulgare. Its description in RNAcentral is "long non-coding RNA (HVUL_LNC020157)". The record is from RNAcentral. Lineage: Eukaryota; Viridiplantae; Streptophyta; Magnoliopsida; Poales; Poaceae.